CCGAAUUCGUCGACAACCUGGUUGAUCCUGCCACUGGUAUAUGCUUGUCUCAAAGACUAAGCCAUGCAAGUGCCUGUAUGAGUGUUUAUACAACGAAACUGCGAAUGGCUCGGUAAAACAGCAAUAAUUUCUUCGGGGAUAAUACUACUCGGAUAACCGUAGUAAAGCUAGAGCUAAUACGUGCUACAAAGGCGAGAUUCGUCUCGUGGUACUAAGUAUUAGGUACAAGCCAGUAAUUUAAAAAAAUAAAAAUAAGAGAUGGAGGGGGAAGAGAUUUCUUCUUCUUUUUUGUUUUUGUUUUUUUUCCCUUUUUUCUGGUGAUUCAUACUUAUUUUUCUGAUCGCACGAAUAAUGAUUUUGUGCGACGCCCCGAUCAAAUUUCUGACCUAUCAACUAUGAUGGUAAGGUAGGGUCUUACCAUGGUUGUGACGGGUAACGGACCGUGGGUGCGGGAUUCCGGAGAGGGAGCCUGAGAAACGGCUACCACAUCCAAGGAAGGCAGCAGGCGCGCAACUUACCCAAUCCGAACUUCGGGAGGUAGUGACAAAAAAUAUCAAUAGGGGGGCCAAUGGUCUUCCUAAUUGGAAUGAAAACAAUGUAAACACCUUAUUGAGGAACCAGCAGAGGGCAAGUCUGGUGCCAGCAGCCGCGGUAAUUCCAGCUCUGUAAGCGUAUACCAAAGUUGUUGCAGUUAAAACGCUCGUAGUCGAAUUUUGGCGUUUUUUUCUUUUUUUCUUUCUUUUGUUUUUUGUUUGUUUUUCUUUUUCUUUUUUCUUUUUUUUUAAAAGGGGGAGAGCAAGGAGAAUGGGUAAUACAAGGGGAAGGGGGAAAUUAAAUUUUUGGUGCUACCGAAACUCCUCAUAAGAUGUUUUUGGUAGCCCCGCCUUUGUGGAGGGGGGUGCGGUGGGCCUUUGUUGGUUUGCCGCGUGUCCACCACUGUUUACUGUGAAAAAAUUAGAGUGUUCAAAGCGAGCGAAUUGCCAUGAAUACAUUAGCAUGGAAUAAUAGAAUAGGACCCGGUUCUGUUUUCUAUUGGUAUUUGUCGGAAUCAGGUAAUGAUUAAGAGGGACGGUCGGGGGUAUUUGUAUUCCAGCGCUAGAGGUGAAAUUCUUGGAUUGCUGGAAGACAAACAGCUGCGAAAGCGUCUACCAAGGACGUUUUCAUUGAUCAAGAACGAAAGUAAGGGGAUCGAAGACGAUCAGAUACCGUCGUAGUCUUUACUAUAAACGAUGAGGACUGGGGAUCGGGCGUGGCCUAUUUUUAAAGGAAAAAAGGCGAAAUAAAAGGGAAGGAGCUUUGUCUUUUUUUGUCUUUUUUUUCUCCUUUUUUUUCUUUUCUUUUUUUGGUACGUUCGGCACCCUCCGGGAAACCAAAGUAUUUGCUUUCUGGGGGGAGUAUGGUCGCAAGUCUGAAACUUAAAGGAAUUGACGGAAGGGCAUCACCGGGUGUGGAGCCUGCGGCUCAAUUUGACUCAACACGGGGAAACUUACCAGGUCCAGACAUAGUAAGGAUUGACAGAUUGAGAGCUCUUUCUUGAUUUUAUGGUUGGUGGUGCAUGGCCGUUCUUAGUUGGUGGAGUGAUCUGUCUGGUUAAUUCCGUUAACGAGCGAGACCUGGGCGUGCUAAAUAGGGUAUGUUAUUCCUUUUUUUUAUUUUUCCAACCUUGUUGUCCGACUCUCUUUUGUUUUUUUUUUGUUUUUUCAAGGAAAAAAGGCGAGAGAGAAAGAAAAGGCGUAAAAUCCUUUUUUUUCUUCUUUUUCUUUUUUUUUUGGAGGGGUAGAAGCGACGAGGGAUGAUGGCGGAUUUUAUGCAAGUGCGGAAGAAUGUUCUUUGAAAUAGCAUUUUAUAUUACCCUUCUUAGACGGACUGUAGGCGUUUAGCCUAUGGAAGCUCCAGGCAAUAACAGGUCUGAGAUGCCCUUAGAUGUUCUGGGCCGCACGCGUGCUACACUGAACGGUUCAACGGGUUAGGUAGUGCGAAAGCAUAACCCAAUCCCUAAAUCCGUUCGUGCUGGGGAUAGAAGCUUGCAAUUCUCCUUCUUGAACGAGGAAUACCUUGUAAGCGCGAGUCAUCAUCUCGCGCUGAAUACGUCCCUGCCCUUUGUACACACCGCCCGUCGCUCCUACCGAUUGAGUGGUCCGGUGAGGCUUUGGGAGAGCUGGGUGGAUUGUGUUUCACAAACCACCUGGUUUAAACUUGGUCAAACCUUACUACUUAGAGGAAGGAGAAGUCGUAACAAGGUUUCCGUAGGUGAACCUGCAGAAGGAUCAAGCUUGGAUGGGCCC
RNAcentral lists this ribosomal RNA (2285 nucleotides) under Leachiella pacifica. RNAcentral's name for it is "partial 18S ribosomal RNA". It matches the Rfam family "Eukaryotic small subunit ribosomal RNA". Lineage: Eukaryota; Rhodophyta; Florideophyceae; Gigartinales; Choreocolacaceae. The record is from RNAcentral.